Molecule: long non-coding RNA, 582 nt
Filed under: Populus trichocarpa (black cottonwood)
Lineage: Eukaryota; Viridiplantae; Streptophyta; Magnoliopsida; Malpighiales; Salicaceae
Description: long non-coding RNA (PTRI_LNC003306)
Source: RNAcentral
CACCACCAACAUCAACCACCUGCUUGAGGUUCUCAAAACCACUGUAGGACUCCAGUAUCUUCUUAAAGACUAGAGUGGUGUGGUUGAACAUUGCUGUGUUGUAAACUUGACUAAACCUGGCAUCUCUAGCAGAGUACUUAAACAAAUGUGUACCAGAGUACUCAGACAAAGGUUUCCGGUGGGCCCUGUCAAAUGGAGUUCCUCCCUCAAGAAUUGCAUCCUUCAGAUGUGACCUGUAAGCCGAGAGUUAGCUGCAUAUUCUAGUUAUGGGAAAAACUAGAAGGGUCAAGGUCACUGUGCCUACUAUAAGUCCUCGCGAAGUAGAAACACAUAAAACAGAAAUAUAGAAUAUAAGGCAUAUACAUCAAGAUCAGAAUAUUCGAAGACAGAAACAAAAUAGUUCUUCCCAGUUGGCUUUAAUAUCAUUUUUGAACACCAUGGGCUCACAACAAACGGUUUAAAUUUGCUGAAGCUGUUUUCGGAGUCGCUAGGUUUGUAAUUCAAUACUAAGAAAAAAAGGUUCCCAUUUGAUAAAUUUAAAAAACACUAGAUUAAUAAAACAAACAAUGAAAGGCAAACCAG